Agrilus planipennis (emerald ash borer) is the source of this 846-nucleotide long non-coding RNA. RefSeq lists it as uncharacterized. The record is from RefSeq and is a predicted model, not a curated record. NCBI's taxonomy places the organism in Eukaryota, Metazoa, Arthropoda, Insecta, Coleoptera, Buprestidae. The transcript is spliced from 3 exons.
UACUGUCGCAAAAAAAUUCCAAGUAUUAUCUAGUCAAAUAGUUACAAUAUAUCGUUUUCAAUAUUCAUCAUUUUGAAUUUAAAAAACAAUGUGGGAGAAGAAGAAUAAUUAACAAUUUAACUUACAAUUAAUUUUCCUGGAUAUUGUUUCUGAACUAAAUUAUAUUUCAAUGCACUUGCUACAGAAUUGAUUAUUUUUAAUUAUAUUUAUGAGAAUAAUUAAAACAUUUGGAUAUUGUUUUAUCAACGCCUACGGCGAUGGUAUUCUGUUCUUAACAUCUGGCUAAUGCGAACCUUUCAAAAAGCUUCAAGCAUUUUGUUAAAACUUCCGAAUCGCGGCUUUUUUGAAAAUGCAACCUUUUUUUGCUGGAAAUGACGUAAAAUGGCCUAAUUAUGAAAAACUUACAUGAAAUAAUCCGGGAGAGGGUCCUUUUGAACGCUUUUUUUGCAAAUUAAUAUUUGUAGAUCACACGUCAAAGUUCACACCUCAUUUUCAUAGUCGCCACUUUAAUUUUCAUUAAUAAUUCAACUCCUGUAGUACGGGUUUUAGUUAGAGAUGGUGUAUUUAUAAGAAACUGAUAAGAAAACGUCGAAGGAAAGGUGUUUUAAUGUUUUUUCGGUGCAAAGUCAUUAGUCCUGAUUAUACGCAAUUGAAAGAAUUAGCAAGUUCUCCAAUAAUCAGCGCCAUAACUAUUUAUCCGCGACUCCUGGAUUGUUAAUCGCUUCGUUUUAUUAACACGUCAAUGCCGCGACAUAUAGAAUGUCCAUUAAUUCCCGUAUCCAGAAGAACACCGCUUUGAACGGAUUUCAAAAACGUGGAAUGAGCAUUGAUUACAUCAUCUAAACA